GACGAAACGCUGGCGGCGUGCUUAACACAUGCAAGUCGAACGGUAAGGCCCUUCGGGUACACGAGUGGCGAACGGGUGAGUAACACGUGAACAACCUGCCCUUGACUCUGGGAUAACAGUUGGAAACAGCUGCUAAUACCGGAUACGAGCCUGCAAGACAUCUUGCGGGCUUGAAAGCUCCGGCGGUCAAGGAUGGAUUCGCGGCCUAUCAGCUUUGUUGGUGAGGUAACGGCUCACCAAGGCUUCGACGGGUAGCCGGCCUGAGAGGGCGACCGGCCACACUGGGACUGAGAUACGGCCCAGACUCCUACGGGAGGCAGCAGUGGGAAUAUUGCGCAAUGGGCGAAAGCCUGACGCAGCAACGCCGCGUGCGGGAUGACGGCCUUGG
RNAcentral lists this ribosomal RNA (388 nucleotides) under uncultured bacterium. RNAcentral's name for it is "bacterial SSU rRNA". It matches the Rfam family "Bacterial small subunit ribosomal RNA", at positions 32 to 420 of the family's 1533-position model. The record is from RNAcentral.